Molecule: ribosomal RNA, 373 nt
Filed under: uncultured organism
Description: bacterial SSU rRNA
Rfam family: Bacterial small subunit ribosomal RNA
Source: RNAcentral
CGUAUGGACCAAGCGUUGUUCGGAUUUACUGGGCGUAAAGGGCGCGUAGGCGGCAAUUCAAGUCAGCUGUGAAAUCUCCGAGCUUAACUCGGAACGGUCAGCUGAUACUGCUUUGCUAGAGUGCAGAAGGGGCAAUCGGAAUUCUUGGUGUAGCGGUGAAAUGCGUAGAUAUCAAGAGGAACACCUGAGGUGAAGACGGGUUGCUGGGCUGACACUGACGCUGACAGCGCGAAAGCUAGGGUAGCAAACGGGAUUAGAUACCCCGGUAGUCCUAGCCCUAAACGAUGAAUACUUGGUGUCUGGAGUUUUUAUCCUCCGGGUGCCGUCGCUAACGUUUUAAGUAUUCCGCCUGGGGAGUACGCACGCAAGUGUG